RNAcentral lists this transfer RNA (90 nucleotides) under Alphaproteobacteria bacterium. RNAcentral's name for it is "tRNA-Ser". It matches the Rfam family "tRNA". Rfam says of the family: Transfer RNA (tRNA) molecules are approximately 80 nucleotides in length. Their secondary structure includes four short double-helical elements and three loops (D, anti-codon, and T loops). Lineage: Bacteria; Pseudomonadati; Pseudomonadota; Alphaproteobacteria. The record is from RNAcentral.
GGAGAGGUGCCUGAGUGGUUUAAAGGACCGGUCUUGAAAACCGGCGUACGUGCAAGCGUACCGUGGGUUCGAAUCCCACCCUCUCCGCCA